This 254-nucleotide ribosomal RNA is filed under the name uncultured bacterium. RNAcentral's name for it is "partial 16S ribosomal RNA". It matches the Rfam family "Bacterial small subunit ribosomal RNA", at positions 524 to 776 of the family's 1533-position model. The record is from RNAcentral.
UACGGGGGGAGCAAGCGUUGUUCGGAUUUACUGGGCGUAAAGGGCGCGUAGGCGGCCUCUGCAAGUCGACUGUGAAAUCUCCGGGCUUAACCCGGAAAGGUCAGCCGAUACUGCAGGGCUAGAGUGCAGAAGGGGCAACUGGAAUUCUCGGUGUAGCGGUGAAAUGCGUAGAUAUCGAGAGGAACACCUGCGGCGAAGGCGGGUUGCUGGGCUGACACUGACGCUGAAGCGCGAAAGCUAGGGGAGCGAACAGG